Molecule: long non-coding RNA, 418 nt
Organism: Pseudopipra pipra
Lineage: Eukaryota; Metazoa; Chordata; Aves; Passeriformes; Pipridae
Exons: 2
Source: RefSeq, a predicted model, not a curated record
AGUGGACAUUGGGAUCCUGAAGAUGGCUCAGGUGGGUACCAGGAGUUCUGCCUGAGUCGGGUCCUCCCCUCACAUGGCCAUGACACUUCUGGCCAUCCCAGUCUGCCCCAGUAUACCCCAGUGCACCUUCCCCAAGGAUCCCAUUUCUUCCCCCAGGCUCCCAAUACAUCCCACUGCACCCAGUGUGUCUCUGAGUCUGUCUUUGUCCCCAGCCCCCUGUGGUUGAGAAGGUGCUGGGUCUUGUUGAUGAGAAACGCGUGGCUGCAUCCCUGGAUGGCUGAGGACUGGUGGUGACACCCGUGCCCUGUCCCCCUCCAGCACCAUGAGGAGAUGAUCAUCCCUGGAAGAACCCCCUGAUUUCCCUCAGAGCCCAGGGCCAUUUCCCCUGAAUGAUCAAUAAAUCCCUUCAGCAAAGCUA